RNAcentral lists this ribosomal RNA (80 nucleotides) under Vibrio alginolyticus. Its description in RNAcentral is "partial 16S ribosomal RNA". It matches the Rfam family "Bacterial small subunit ribosomal RNA", at positions 1 to 80 of the family's 1533-position model. The record is from RNAcentral. Lineage: Bacteria; Pseudomonadati; Pseudomonadota; Gammaproteobacteria; Vibrionales; Vibrionaceae. RNAcentral also lists the same sequence under 4 other names.
AAAUUGAAGAGUUUGAUCAUGGCUCAGAUUGAACGCUGGCGGCAGGCCUAACACAUGCAAGUCGAGCGGAAACGAGUUAU